UCAUGGGGUAAUGGGUUAGCUAAAUCAAAUCCAAAUGAUUUGGACUCAAUGGUUGAAAUCAAACUUGGUAGAGUAGUUGAUCUAAUCUAAUUAAAGUUGUUUCUUAGAUUGGGUCAAGAUUGUUCUUGAUCUUUGCAAUAGUUGUAGUUGAUCAAGUCCAUGUCUUUGAUUAGACCAAAUGGAUGUUGAUUUAGGCUUCGUGGUUGAGCUUGAGUUAUGAUAUUGAUCGAAUUGAAAUUGAUAAACUAGUUGGUGUCAAAGGCAACUGUAAUCAGUAGGUUUUUAAUUGGGAGCUACUUGCUGGGUUUCGGUCCAGUCAAGUUAAUGGCAUACCCUUCCGCUGAUCUCACUUACCUGGCCAUCUUGGUGAAUCUCUUUUGAUCAGAUCUCUGAUUGACUCUAAUUGACCCAUGCCUGUAAGAAAAUCAGUUGGAUUGAUUUAGGUGCACUGAGUUGAAUCUAUUUCCUAUGAUACCUGACUUAUGAAGUCAGUGGGAGGAUUUGGAUUGAGUCAGCUUUUUAUUAUAAAAAUCCUCUAAAUUAUUAGGUCCAUAAAAUGAUAGGGUUAAUGGAGAUGACCACGUCAUAGCCUCCCAUUAGUUGUGUGAUAAUGAGUCCAAUACGUCUAUAUACAUUGGAGGUGCGUGCGCGCACUGGUGCGUAUCGGCCAUUGGAAUUGUCAUACAAUAAUGAUGAGUCGGUUGCAACUAUUGGAAUGGGUGGUCCGGUUGGAUACCGGCCAAAGUCGAAGCGCUUCGCUAACGCUCGGGCUUGACCAUCCAUUAGAUAGUUUGCAUUGAUUGCUACAUGUUAAUGGUUGG
RNAcentral lists this long non-coding RNA (821 nucleotides) under Phoenix dactylifera (date palm). Its description in RNAcentral is "long non-coding RNA (PDAC_LNC014044)". The record is from RNAcentral. Lineage: Eukaryota; Viridiplantae; Streptophyta; Magnoliopsida; Arecales; Arecaceae.